RNAcentral lists this ribosomal RNA (389 nucleotides) under Dinophyceae sp. RNAcentral describes it as "partial small subunit ribosomal RNA". It matches the Rfam family "Eukaryotic small subunit ribosomal RNA", at positions 582 to 975 of the family's 1831-position model. The record is from RNAcentral. Lineage: Eukaryota; Dinophyceae.
AUUCCAGCUCCAAUAGCGUAUAUUAAAGUUGUUGCGGUUAAAAAGCUCGUAGUUGGAUUUCUGCCGAGGAUGACCGGUCCGCCCUGUGGGUGUGCAUCUGGCUCAGCCUUGGCAUCUUCCUGAAGAACGUAGCUGCACUUGACUGUGUGGUGCGGUAUUUAGGACAUUUACUUUGAGGAAAUUAGAGUGUUUCAAGCAAGCGCACGCUUUGAAUACAUUAGCAUGGAAUAAUAAGAUAGGACCUCGGUUCUAUUUUGUUGGUUUCUAGAGCUGAGGUAAUGAUUGAUAGGGAUAGUUGGGGGCAUUCGUAUUUAACUGUCAGAGGUGAAAUUCCUGGAUUCGCUGAAGACUAACUUAUGCGAAAGCAUUCACCAAGGAUGUCUUCAUUG